GUUGUCGUGGCUGAGUGGUUAUGGCGAUGGACUUAAGAUCUUUUGGGAUCUUCCCGCGCAGGUUCGAUUUCUGCCGACAUCG
RNAcentral lists this transfer RNA (82 nucleotides) under Dreissena polymorpha. It matches the Rfam family "tRNA". From Rfam's summary of the family: Transfer RNA (tRNA) molecules are approximately 80 nucleotides in length. Their secondary structure includes four short double-helical elements and three loops (D, anti-codon, and T loops). The record is from Rfam by way of RNAcentral. Lineage: Eukaryota; Metazoa; Mollusca; Bivalvia; Myida; Dreissenidae.